UGCGUAGGCGGCUGAUUAAGUCGGAUGUGAAAUCCCUGAGCUUAACUUGGGAAUUGCAUUCGAUACUGGUCAGCUAGAGUAUGGGAGAGGAUGGUAGAAUUCCAGGUGUAGCGGUGAAAUGCGUAGAGAUCUGGAGGAAUACCGAUGGCGAAGGCAGCCAUCUGGCCUAAUACUGACGCUGAGGUACGAAAGCAUGGGGAGCAAACA
This 207-nucleotide ribosomal RNA is filed under the name uncultured bacterium. RNAcentral's name for it is "partial 16S ribosomal RNA". It matches the Rfam family "Bacterial small subunit ribosomal RNA", at positions 568 to 774 of the family's 1533-position model. The record is from RNAcentral.